This 497-nucleotide ribosomal RNA is filed under the name uncultured bacterium. RNAcentral describes it as "partial 16S ribosomal RNA". It matches the Rfam family "Bacterial small subunit ribosomal RNA", at positions 28 to 507 of the family's 1533-position model. The record is from RNAcentral.
GAUGAACGCUGGCGGCGUGCCUAAUACAUGCAAGUCGAGCGAACAGACGAGGAGCUUGCUCCUUUGACGUUAGCGGCGGACGGGUGAGUAACACGUGGAUAACCUACCUAUCAGACUGAGAUAACUUCGGGAAACCGGCGCUAAUCCCGGAUAACAUGUUGAACCGCAUGGUUCAACGGUGAAAGUCGGUCUUUGUGUCACUUAUAGCUGCAUCUGCGCCGUAUUAGCUAGUCGGUAAGGUCACGGCUUACCAAGGCUACUAUGCGUAGCCGACCGGACAGGGUGGUCGGCCGCCCUGGAGCUUGGACACGGUCCAUGCUCCUACGGGAGGCCGCAGUAUGGAAUCUUCCGCAAUGGUCGAAAGCCUGACGGAGCAACGCCGCGCGAGUGGCAGCGGUCUUCGGAUCGUAAAAAUCUGUUAUGGGUGAUGAACAAAUGUGUAAGUAACUGUGCACGUCUUGACGGUACCUAAUCAGAAAGCCCCGGCUAACUACGUG